Long non-coding RNA from Equus caballus (horse), 5788 nucleotides. Lineage: Eukaryota; Metazoa; Chordata; Mammalia; Perissodactyla; Equidae. The record is from Ensembl.
GAAAACAAGAGAAAAUGGGCAAAAGACCUGAACGGAUACUUCCCCAAAGAGGCCCUACAUCGUGAAGACUCAGAUGGAAAGGGGCGCAACCUCAUUAGUCUUCAGGGAAACACAAUUUGAGAGCCACCGAGUCAGCAGCACGACUACAGUGAGAAGUGUCGGUGUCGAGUGUUGUGAGGACGUGGAUGAACCGGAACUCUCUGCAGCGCUGAUGGUCGGAAGAGCAUCUUAGCACCUCAAGAGCAGGAAGGACGUGACUUCAGAAAUAGAAGGCCCAUCGCCCUUCCCUGGCAGGGACAGCUGGUGUCCUUACACUGAUAUUUUCACUACCCAGACCUUCUGCCACUGGGUAUGGAUUUGAGUCAUGUCUCCAUGACUUCCUAGCUGUGUGACUUUGGGCAAGCAGCUUCACCUCUCUGUGCCUCCCUGGCUUCUUCUCGGGGUCAUGGUGAAAAUGAAAUGAUGGAACCCAUGUGAAGCCCUUCACAGAGUCCAUAACCUACAGGGGCUGAUGGAGGGGGAUCCUCACCCUCAUUCACGCACAGCAGCGCCCCCUAGUGGCUCCGUGCCUGGAGCGCCAACAAGAACCCUCUGCAGAGCAGUAAUGAGGCUCCUCAGGCAGGAGUUGGGACCUGGUGUAAUGGCCAAGGGUGAGGCCUAGCAGGAAGUAGGAUUCAUGGAGUCACUUAAAGUCCAGGCCUGUCUGUCUCCCUGAGAAUAAAGUUUGUUCCUCGGAAACUACUGUCCAGCUGUGAGCUCCAGAAGAGAGGGAAAAUGAAAUCUCUCUGCCCCCAAACCAGGAAGGCUGCCCUAUGUGUGUCUUUGGGGGAGCUGCCUGUUCCCGGGGCUGACAGGGCAUGGGGCCUUGGCGCUGUCACCCACAGGGCGGGGCUGGGUGUGGGGUCACUGGAGCCACAGCCCACCCUGCCUCCUGCUCUCCUGCAAGGUCUGAGGGAUGGAAGGGGAAAGCUGACUGCAGGAGGGAGCCUUUCUGCGAUGUCCCCUGAUAGGGACACAUGCAACCUCGGUGCUCUCCCCCGAAGAGGGACUUGCACUGAGGGAGGCAUUAGUCACUGGGAGCAGCCGUGUGUCCUCAGAAAGAUGGUGGCGGAGAGUCUGGGAGACCUGAGACAGACUCGAGCACUCUCUCCUGUCACAUUCCUUCCCCAAGAAGAGGCUGACAUGGAUGUUCCUUCCUGUCUCUGCUCGUGGACUCUCAUUUAACCCGCAAGCCUGGGAAGGAACCUCACACAGGACAGAGAAAGUGGCUCUGGGAGUAGGCAGGCUUGUGUUCAAAUCCCAGUUCUGACACUUGCUGAGCCUGUCACCUGGGGCAAGUCAUUGUUUCCUUGGCCUUGUUUCUGCAUGUGUAAACUGGGGAUGAUAAAGUACAUCCCUCAGGUUUUGAUGUGAGACUUGAAUGUGCUGAUCUAUCCACAAUCUCAGAUGCUUCCAGGGGCCAGGCAGGCAAGUGAGAGUGAGAGAAGUGGGCCAGGUGCAGGCAGCAGGGAGUGGUGGGGACUGUGGUAAACCAGGAGCACAAACACAUGUGAGUGGGGACAGCUGCUGGUCAGCGUCCUCUGAUCCAGGGCACUCAGGCACUUGAUCAGGGCAUGACAGACACCCUCAGAAUCCCAGACUAUGGGCUUUUUCUCAGGGGUCUCUGGGUGGACUUUGGCCCUGCUGGAUUUAACUGCCCUGAGAGACAGAUCUGGUUAGCAGUGAUGUGUGGUAGAAAGAAACGUGGGCCGGUGCCACCAGUUUUUUCAAAUGCCCAAGAAAAACAAGAAAUCAGCUUUAUUUUUCAAUGUUGGCAUUAAACAACAUUUUAAAAACAAUGUCCUGGGAUCCAGACAAAACCCUGUGUUAGCUGUGUGACUUUGGGCAAGUCUCUUAGCAUCUCUGAGCUUCUGUGCAUCCAUGAAUAAUGAGGUAAGAAUAGCCCUAGCUCCUGAUCUUAGCAGUUUACAUGAACUACCUCCCGGAACCUUUCCCUCAAUGUGAUAAGGGAGGGGUUACUGUCACCCCUCAUUUCACAGACAGGGACACAGGCACUGAGAAGUUCAGUCACUUGCCCAGAAUCCCACGACUGGUAAGUGACAGGGCGUGGAGAGGUUUAGAGGAAAAGACGCAGGCAGAGUGGUCAGUGAAUGUUAGCUACUGUUGGAUCAUCGUCAUGAUUAUUACUAUUAUUAGUAACAGAAAUGGCUCAAGGUCAGUUCUCAGCCUUAAUUUGACGGCCGGAAGAAGCCGCUGGACUGGACAGUCAGGCAGAGACCAGGCCGGCUCUGGAUUCAUCUCUGUGUUUUUGCAGGGAGCUCUUGGCCUCAUUAGUAGUCCCUUUGCACAGGCACUGGCCCCCUGCCGGUGGGACUCCUGGGACGACAGUUGGAUUUAGAUCCCGUGCAGUGGAGAGAUUCUCACUUUGGGGACCCGAGCUCAUCGUGACUGUCAUUACAGCCCGGGUUGUUAUGCCAUUGAUAUGUGUUUGCUCGUCGUUGAGUGGGCUGUGACACGUGGUUGACAAGUGGCCCUGAGCAGCAGUUGACAUGAGAGUGGGGAGCCUGCUGGACCUGGAGAGGCCCAGCUGGUAGAGGAGCCGUGGAGCAGAGGCUGGAGGAGGCCGACCUCUGUCCGGGACUGUGUUCAGCACAGCCGGAGCUCCCACUGGGAUCUGCUCAGCACAGAGUCCCGCUGAGAGAGAGAGCUGACUGGCAGUGCACUGUGGCAGGAAGAACAGAUUUGGGGUUGGUAGAAGCGGAUUUGCAUUUCAGUGUUGCAGUUUUCUACCUGUGGUCCCGGGGAACUGGGCCUUGUUCCCUGACACUCCGUUUUCCCAUCUGCAAACUGACAGCUAACAGAACCUGUUGCACAGAUGAUGAUGAAACGAGUCUGUAUUUGCAAACACAUGUUCUACUGCAACAGGAGGCCAUCAAGCAUGGUCGUGAUGAGGCUGCGGAGAAGGGGGACCUGGGGUCGAAUCCUGCCUCGUUCACCUUCAUGCUGAGUGACCUUGGGUAAGUCACUCCACCACUUGGAGCCUCAUGUUCUUACACUGGGAUAAGACACGCUCCUGCCCAGGGCGGUUGUGAUCAUUCCUUUAGAUGAUGCACGCAAGGAUCGGUUAGCCCCAUGCACGGAACAGAACGUGAGCUCGGCAAGAAGAGGGCAUUCUUUCUGUCCAUCUGAUUCUUAUCCACCCAAGCCGGGCACAGAGGGGGCUCUCAGUGAACAGUGGCUCAGUUGCUCGAUGCCUUGAUGUGUUCUUCAGGAAACAGAUGACAUCCUCAAAGUGGGCAAUUUGAGGAGAGUUUAAUUUAAAAAUAACACUAAAACAUUUAAAUAAUAAAAUAGCCAUUAAAAUUAUUCAUACAUGGAUGAUUUACAAAUGUGUGGGCGAGACAUUGGGAAACCAACCAGGGACAGUGCUGUGAGCCAGGGCUGCGUCAGUGGGGAGCCCUUUCCGUCUUGGAUUCCUCAAGAUGAUUGUUCCAGCACUUCUCUUCCUGAGCCAUGUGACCCUGUACCACCUCCAUUGGAAGAGGAAGAAUGAACAUCCCCACUCCACAGGUUGAGGGCUUGGCCAUGGGACUUGCUGAGGUCAACCGACUAUGAAGGAGGAAGUGAUGGGACCAGAGGCUAGAAAUGUGCUUGUGUGGCUUGACUCACUUCUUGUGCUUCUGUCAUUUGUCCUGAGGAGAGCAGGCUCCAGGUAUAUGACGGCCUCAGAAGGAGGAGACCCUUGGAGCAGAUCUGACCCCACCUGGCAGCCUGAACCAAACUGAGCUGGGCCCAUCAGAGUCAGAGCUGACCUGCAGACCUGUGAGCAGAAAACCUGAUGACUGCUCUGGCAGCCACUGAGAUUCUGAGGUUGCUUGUAAUGUGGUAAAAACUGACUGAUGCCCACCCCCAGAGGAGGAGGGCCUGGGAGUGCAGUUACUGGACUGGGUUGCCUGAUAUGAGCUGUGACCCCAGUAGAGGGGAGCCGAUGGCUGCCCAAGACUCCCUUCCCUCCUUUCAAUCUCCUGCAGCUGCUCCCAAUGGACUAGACCCAACUCCUGGUGGUGAACAAGGGAGCCGUUGAUAGGGCCACUGAAGACCUGCCCCUGGGCCCAGCACAUGGUGGAGAAGGGUGGAGUAUGGCUAUGGAAGGGCCAGUGGAAUGAUCCAGCGCAAUGAAGAAGGAAGGAGUGAGGGGCCAGCCCGGUGGCACAGGGGUUAAGUUCACACGUUCUGUUUCAGCGGCCCGGGUCUCGCCGGUCUGGAUCCCGGGUGCAGACAUGGCACCACUUGGCACGCCAUGCUGUGGUAGGCGUCCCAUGUAUAAAGUGGAGGAAGAUGGGCAUGGAUGUGAGCUCAGGGCCAGUCUUCCUCAGCAAAAUGAGGAGGAUUGGCAGCAGAUGUUAACUCAAGGCUAAUCUUCCUCAAAAAAAAAAGAAGGAAGGAGAGCAUAUGGGCUCUUGGAUUCACAAAGUUCUGUGCCAGGGGCUUUGCACAAGGAGCCACGUUAACCUACAGUCCUUGGGGCAUCUCCCCUAACUCUUUCCUCAGUCUCCCUGGUUUCUCUUGUCCUGGCCAGUGAUCCGGAGCAUUCUGUGGGAUCUGAAGCUCAGUGGAGUUAGCCAGCAGGACUUCCUUGAACAAUCCUACAAUUAUUUCAGAAUUUUUCCCCUCCCCAGUCCAUCAGCCAAAGAGGAGGUGUUCCCAAGAUUAUUACAGUUGAGAGGGAGAAUUUGAGGAAUAUCUUUUGAAUGUGUUGCCUCCCAAUGUCUUUAUCAAAACCACGUGCUGCAAAGUCUUGUUCACGAGACUCCCAAUCCCCAUCCUGUCCUUCCCAAGUGUCUUGCAGGUCAUGACCUCGGCCUCCUUUUCCGUGGACAGGAAGAGUUUAGCACAAAGUGCAGAGCAGGAGUUUUGAAGUCCAGUGUAGUGGUGGUAAAGCCCGACUUGCCCUCUUGGCAGCUCAGUGACCUUGGGCAGAUGACCUUGCCUGAUGCCUGAACCAGGGGAGAUAAUAUCAGCAGCAGGUCCUAGGGCCACUUUGAGGGUUAAAUGGGAUAGACAUUCAUACCCUGAGCACAGUACUUUGUUAAUGCUCAUGAAACUAUUGUUGUUGCUCCACACUUCCCAAAAGUGGUCAGGGUGGACUGGGACUCGGGAAGGGUUGGGGGCACAGAAUCCUCUAUUGGAUGCCAUAACACUCGGUGACCCACCGCUGGUAUUGGGAAGACCAUGCCCAGUUCUUCCGUCCGCAGAAUUCCAUGAGCUCCCGCAAAAGCAAAAUUGCUCUCCUUUCCAGGCAGGCAGGAGCUGGGGCAUCCCUCAGCCUUCCAGGGCUGUGGGCUGCACUGCACAGGGGAUUUUUCUUUGACUCAGACGUUGGUGGUCUGGUGCAAUCCAGCUAUUAAGCAGCCUUUCAGCUGACUCCAAUCUGGAGCAGUAGGUAUCUGCCAAUCCCCAUAAUAUCUAGGGAUUUGUGAAUUCUUAAAUCUGAAUAUGCCUUUACAGGUAUCAAUUCAGUGGUGAAUGCAGGCCAGCCUGAUUCUUGUAGAUAAAUGAUAUGUAUAAUAUAAGAUGAUUGAAGAGGAAAAAUAGAGAAUGUCUAGGAAGCUAUUCAGAUGAGGACCAGCUAUUGUCUGUUUUCACCCACCUGUCUCACUCCCACCCCAUCUGCCACCAAUCCAGCCAUCCAGUCGUCACUCCACCCACCAUUCACUGCAUAUUCCACUUUAUACCCACCCCAUUCUCCAUCGCUCCAUUCCUUAACCUGCCCCAUGCCCCCUUCAAA